UAGCCUUAAAAUUCAAAAAGAAUCCAUUACGUCAAUCGCAUUCGAAUUCGUUACGCGCUUUUUAAUCUCUAUGGAAACGGCAACAAUUGCCGUUUCUAUGGAAACGCGUAUUGUUGCAACACGAUUUUGCACGUUGCACUUUGCACGUUUUUCGCUUGCCGAACGGACUCUGGUUUUUGCUCUGAUUUCUGCCUUUUUUCAGUGGUUUUUGCUACCGGAACGUGGUUUUGAGAAGACUUGUGGACGCCGACAUUACACCAAGUAAGAUUUUAAUUAGAAUUUAGCUAGCUUUAAGAUUUUAUUUUCGUUUCGUUUAGUGCAACUUUCGGAGACGACAUCGGCCGACUCGGACUUUGCAUAUUUGCGUUUAAAUCUGCCGUCGCUUGUGUUUUUCGUUUGAAUUACCAUCCGAAACGCAUCUCUUUCGACUUUUAAACCAGCCGCCACAUUGGAAAGCGACCGAAGCGCCGAAAACGACGGACGCAAAGGAUUAAAAUGAAGAGCUGGCGGUUUUGGCGUUGGCUGCGGCCCAAGAAGAUGAAGAAGUGUGAAGGGCGUUCUCCUUCCGCAAUCGAUGAAGAGAGGGUCUUUUCCCCCUUUGAGCGGGGAGAGGAACUCUCUUCCAUCGAUUGCGGAAGGGGUUCUUCCUUCACGGGAUCGCCUUCGGGAAUAGCGGAUGUCGACAGCAUUCUCUGUUCCGCGUUGAACGGAGAGGAGACAUUUCGCCAUUCGGACGUGUUCCGAAAGGUGAAAUGUCUCCAUGUUGACGACAUCAUCUUUGACGCACUGGGAGGGGAGGAAUGUUUCGAUCAUUCCUCCCUUUUCCAACGAGUGGGAUCCUCUCGUUCGGUGUGGGCAAAGAUGGAAAGGAAAAAGCGUCGCUUCGUAAGAGAAGUGAACGACUUUUUCCUUUGCUAUUUCUGAAGGAUAUUACUAACCUAGGAUAAGAAGGCAAGAGGUUUUUUUCGUUUGUUUUUUCCUCUUGUCAUACUAACAACAUUUAAAUUUAAGGUUUUAGUUUCAAUUUACUAACGUAGGAUAAGAAGGCAAGAGGUUUUUUAUUUUUUAUUUUUUCCUCUUGUCAUACUAAACAUUGAAACUAAAAUCUUAAAUUUAAUUUACUAAUCUAGAUGUAAGUAGACAAGGGGUUUUUAAUUUUUUUCCCCUUGUCGAUCACACUAGAUUAUUAAUUCACAUCCACGCACAUAAACAACAACAUCCCUCACGCUGAAACACACAGUUCAAACAACGACACAUUCGUCGCAUCCAAUCACCAACGAUUCCAUUCACGUGCAUUAUAAACAACACCGUUCACAACCCGAACACGCUUCCCAAAAUCCAACCUCUGGGUCCACGUCCCGGGAAGCGGUAACGUCGGUCGCAAUGGCCGAUGGCCAAAGAGGCUCUGGUAACAAUUUACUUUUGAUA
Molecule: unclassified non-coding RNA, 1428 nt
Filed under: Centruroides sculpturatus (bark scorpion)
Lineage: Eukaryota; Metazoa; Arthropoda; Arachnida; Scorpiones; Buthidae
Description: uncharacterized LOC111634533, transcript variant X6
Source: RNAcentral